AAGCAGCCCUGUGCUGGAGCCUUCAGCCCAGCCUCAAGCGCCGCUCCCACCGCUAAUGCCUGUCCCUACACCCUCAAACGGGUCAGGGGUCCUGGACUGAAUGAAAAGUAGAAAUCAUGCUGAGCAUCAGCCUUCAUCACUCUUUCAUAACUGUGGACUGAAUGAGACCAGCUGCCUCAUGCUCCCGCCACAAUGCCUCUUUGGGGAAACAUUCGCAGAAGCGAAGCAGGAGUUGCCUGACAGCCUGAGGGUCAGGAAGGAACAACAAAAGUGACCCAUCCAUUUCUGUAGAAACGGGCUCAGGACCACCAGACUGCCUCUAGAGUGACUUGAUUUGAUUCCAUUCGGAUAACAUACUGGAGGGCUUUUUAAAAAAU
Molecule: long non-coding RNA, 377 nt
Organism: Jaculus jaculus (lesser Egyptian jerboa)
Lineage: Eukaryota; Metazoa; Chordata; Mammalia; Rodentia; Dipodidae
Exons: 3
Source: RefSeq, a predicted model, not a curated record